RNAcentral lists this unclassified non-coding RNA (253 nucleotides) under uncultured Candidatus Altimarinota bacterium. RNAcentral describes it as "uncultured Candidatus Gracilibacteria bacterium contains 16S-23S intergenic spacer region". It matches the Rfam family "Bacterial small subunit ribosomal RNA", at positions 524 to 776 of the family's 1533-position model. The record is from RNAcentral. Lineage: Bacteria; Candidatus Altimarinota.
UACGGAGGGUGCAAGCGUUAUCCGGAAUUAUUGGGCGUAAAGCGUCCGUAGGCGGUUUGUUAAGUCGGAUGUUAAAUCUGUUGGCUCAACCAACAGGUCGUAUCCGAAACUGGCAAACUUGAGAUUUGCAGAGGUGCAUAGAAUUCCACAUGUAGGGGUAAAAUCCGUUGAUAUGUGGAGGAAUACCAAAAGCGAAGGCAGUGCACUGGGCAAUUUCUGACGCUCAUGGACGAAAGCGUGGGGAGCAAACAGG